Molecule: long non-coding RNA, 384 nt
Organism: Suricata suricatta (meerkat)
Lineage: Eukaryota; Metazoa; Chordata; Mammalia; Carnivora; Herpestidae
Exons: 3
Source: RefSeq, a predicted model, not a curated record
GGCACUUUUGGCCUUGUGACGAACGAUACUGAGGACAUUUGGUCUCUCUGCUCAUCUUCAUAUUGUACCUGGGUCUGCCUCACACCGCAACCCAUCUCAGACUGCACUAGAGGAAAGGAGGCUUGCAAAUACCUGAACAAUGCGCUUCCAUGGCUGGAUGGCUUCCUACCUCCAACCCCCAAGGCUACAUCUUGCCCCACAUUUCCUUGGCACCCACCCCCAAAAGGAAACAGUAGCUACCAGCCCCCGCCAGGCACUGUCUUCUUGAGAUGCAGCUGAAUAAUCAAUUACUGGGUGUCUGGAGACAAAGACCACUGUUUCCUUGCAAAGGAGAGGAGGGACGGUGCGGCCACAUCUGGCAAUUCGGUGGCUGGGGGCGAGGAC